GGCGCGCAUCUCGGCGGCCCCGGGCGCCUCGGAGAGUCGCCAAGGCGCUCCACCUGCGCUCUCCGCGUCGCGGGUGAUGCCUAGUGGGGCCGAGCUGCUUUCGCGCCCUCCGCAGGGAGACGCAUCUCGUUGGACCCGCGAGCCCGCACACCAACUUCUGCCCGCCCAGCGAGCUCAACUUCUGCGCGGGGCUCGGACUUGCGGAGCCGGAGUGGCGCGCGGCGCGCAGUCGGCGUGGCGGCUGGAGCAGCUCCGCCCGGCGGAGGUGACCUGGCGACUGUGGCUCUGGUGUGGCUCUGGUGAGCUUGGGUGGCCGCCGGCUGGCCGCCAGGCAGAGCCCUUCAUCUCCGUCCGGGCAUGCCAAAUGUUUGCGAAGAACAGCAGCUGACUGUGGUGGGGCUACCACACCCGUGUGUCCAAGCAUUCACACUCACCAUCAAGAUCUGGAAACAGCUGCAGUGGCCCAUGGUGGUGUGUGAGUUAUGAAAGAAGGACCCGGUACCACACCAUCUACAGACAGUCAUACAGCAUGGAGCGGCAGACCAUCUACAGGCGCUGCCCUGGUUGGAGCUGGCAGGACAAUGAACCUGGCUGUCUAUGCU
Non-coding RNA from Globicephala melas (long-finned pilot whale), 602 nucleotides. NCBI's taxonomy places the organism in Eukaryota, Metazoa, Chordata, Mammalia, Artiodactyla, Delphinidae. The record is from RefSeq and is a predicted model, not a curated record.